AUUAUUAUUGGCAGGAGAGAUACCAAGAUCAUGAAGCUGGUUUCUCCAGGGAAAACCAUUAUCCAUUGCACUCCGGAUUUUCUGACCCUUGUGAUUUCCCCAAAUGUAGGAAACUCAAUUGCAUAAUUUGUGGUGAGAGGGACUGCAUUUGAGUUCUCCUUCA
This is a small nuclear RNA of Sorex araneus (European shrew), 163 nucleotides long. Its record names the gene U1. It matches the Rfam family "U1 spliceosomal RNA". Rfam says of the family: U1 is a small nuclear RNA (snRNA) component of the spliceosome (involved in pre-mRNA splicing). NCBI's taxonomy places the organism in Eukaryota, Metazoa, Chordata, Mammalia, Eulipotyphla, Soricidae. The record is from Ensembl.